RNAcentral lists this transfer RNA (66 nucleotides) under Lucinella divaricata. RNAcentral's name for it is "tRNA-Pro". Lineage: Eukaryota; Metazoa; Mollusca; Bivalvia; Lucinida; Lucinidae. The record is from RNAcentral.
GGGAGGUAGUUUAGUUUAAAAUAGUAGCUUUGGGUGUUACAGACCUAAAAAUUUUAGUCUCUCAGC